Molecule: non-coding RNA, 29 nt
Filed under: Mus musculus (house mouse)
Lineage: Eukaryota; Metazoa; Chordata; Mammalia; Rodentia; Muridae
Source: RNAcentral
UAAUUCUUGCCUGGAAUACUGCAGUCUCC